GGUGUCAGUGGCUGGUGGCAGCUGGCGCGGAGAGGUCCAGUGGUGCCUGUAUCUGGGCCGGCAGCUCCAUAGCAACCACCCAGCAAACAAUGCCUCCCCCCAGCCCACAGUGUACACUUCAGCUCCUGCUGUCAGCCACUGGCCAUAGGAGGGGAACGUUGGCCAGACUAAUGGCCCAGGAGCAGGAUGACCAGCAGGCCUUAGGGGACUGGGUCAUCCAUCCAUGCAUAGGAGAUGAACCUGGGAGGAACCACAUACUGGGUGGUUGGCAAUGCUGGGACUCAGAGGCCCAGGGCCUGACCUGGACUAGAAAGGCCACCCCCAGGAGGCACUGUCCUGCUGCUCCCCUCUUCCCUGGCAGUGCCUGGCUGUGGUCCUGGCCCACUGGCUGGGGCAAGAAGCCCAGAAUCUCUGCAAACGGCUGCCUGCUGGCCACUCCCUGAUGACAGAUGGCCUUGAGGAGAUACGUAUUAAUAUCCCCACUUUGUAUAUGGGGGAACUGGGACUCGAAGAAAUGAAGAUGCCUAUUUGGGUGAAAUGGAUGAUAAGAGGUGUAAAUAUGGACUGACAUGACAACUGCUUAUCAGAAAUCUGUAACCAGCUCACAUGUUGUCCCUCCGCUGCCUGUGGAGACUGUUCUCUCAGUGGCGCUGGAUCUCAACACCACAGCAUCAACCCAGCCCUGAAGCCCAUCAUCUGGGUAUGCCUUGGCAAAGUGGACUGCAGCUUAUUUGUGUGGUCUGAGAGCUAAGAAUGCUGUUACAAUUUUAAAUGGUUGAAAAAGAAAUCAAAAUAAUAAAAAUAUUUCAUAA
This is a long non-coding RNA of Neofelis nebulosa (Clouded leopard), 812 nucleotides long. RefSeq lists it as uncharacterized. The transcript has 4 exons. NCBI's taxonomy places the organism in Eukaryota, Metazoa, Chordata, Mammalia, Carnivora, Felidae. The record is from RefSeq and is a predicted model, not a curated record.